UACGGGGGGGGCAAGCGUUGUUCGGAAUUACUGGGCGUAAAGGGCUCGUAGGCGGCCAACUAAGUCGAACGUGAAAUCCCCGGGCUCAACCCGGGAACUGCGUCCGAUACUGGCAGGCUUGAAUUCGGGAGAGGGAUGCGGAAUUCCAGGUGUAGCGGUGAAAUGCGUAGAUAUCUGGAGGAACACCGGUGGCGAAGGCGGCAUCCUGGACCGAGAUUGACGCUGAGGCGCGAAAGCCAGGGGAGCAAACGGG
Molecule: ribosomal RNA, 253 nt
Filed under: uncultured bacterium
Lineage: Bacteria
Description: partial 16S ribosomal RNA
Rfam family: Bacterial small subunit ribosomal RNA
Source: RNAcentral